RNAcentral lists this ribosomal RNA (474 nucleotides) under Streptococcus sp. oral taxon 074. RNAcentral's name for it is "bacterial SSU rRNA". It matches the Rfam family "Bacterial small subunit ribosomal RNA", at positions 28 to 485 of the family's 1533-position model. The record is from RNAcentral. Lineage: Bacteria; Bacillati; Bacillota; Bacilli; Lactobacillales; Streptococcaceae.
GAUGAACGCUGGCGGCGUGCCUAAUACAUGCAAGUAGAACGCUGAAGCUAGGUGCUUGCACCGAGCGGAUGAGUUGCGAACGGGUGAGUAACGCGUAGGUAACCUGCCUGGUAGCGGGGGAUAACUAUUGGAAACGAUAGCUAAUACCGCAUGACAACAGUUAUUGCAUGAUAACUGUUUAAAAGGGGCAACUGCUCCACUACCAGAUGGACCUGCGUUGUAUUAGCUAGUUGGUGAGGUAACGGCUCACCAAGGCGACGAUACAUAGCCGACCUGAGAGGGUGAUCGGCCACACUGGGACUGAGACACGGCCCAGACUCCUACGGGAGGCAGCAGUAGGGAAUCUUCGGCAAUGGACGGAAGUCUGACCGAGCAACGCCGCGUGAGUGAAGAAGGUUUUCGGAUCGUAAAGCUCUGUUGUAAGAGAAGAACGAGUGUGAGAGUGGAAAGUUCACACUGUGACGGUAUCUACCA